GUCAGCAGCCACACCACCUGCAGUUCAGCCCAGGUUAUCCACCUGAAGAUAAGCAGGUUUGGGCCUGGCCAGUACUUGGGAUGUGAGACCAAUUGGGAAAGCUGGGUUGUUGAUGGAA
Molecule: ribosomal RNA, 118 nt
Filed under: Paramormyrops kingsleyae
Lineage: Eukaryota; Metazoa; Chordata; Actinopteri; Osteoglossiformes; Mormyridae
Source: RNAcentral